RNAcentral lists this long non-coding RNA (336 nucleotides) under Ananas comosus (pineapple). RNAcentral's name for it is "long non-coding RNA (ACOM_LNC028038)". The record is from RNAcentral. Lineage: Eukaryota; Viridiplantae; Streptophyta; Magnoliopsida; Poales; Bromeliaceae.
UUUUUUCUACAGAAAAGUCCAAAAAUCAUUAAAGAAAUGAAGAAGAAAAUGAAAAUACACUGUUAAAAUAAAGUUAUAUUAUUUUUAAAAAAAUUUACACUAUUUUAGAUAAAAGUUACACUUUUUGGGACAGAAAAUUACACUCUUUGGAUUAGAGUUGCACUUUUUAGAUAAAAGUUGCACUAUUUAGAUAAAAUUUACACCAUUUUCGAUUCUCUUCUUCUUCCUCCUCCUUCUUUCCUUUCGUUUCUCGUCCUCCUCCUCCUUCUCCUCCUUCCUUUCCAACUCACAGCUGCCGCCGUCGUCGUACAUGCCCACGCCGCCGCUAUCCACAUA